AUUGAACGCUGGCGGCAGGCCUAACACAUGCAAGUCGAGCGGAUGAAGGGAGCUUGCUCCUGGAUUCAGCGGCGGACGGGUGAGUAAUGCCUAGGAAUCUGCCUGGUAGUGGGGGAUAACGUCCGGAAACGGGCGCUAAUACCGCAUACGUCCUGAGGGAGAAAGUGGGGGAUCUUCGGACCUCACGCUAUCAGAUGAUCCUAGGUUGGAUUAGCUAGUUGGUGGGGUAAAGGCGUACCAAGGCGACGAUCCGUAACUGAUCUGAGAGGAUGAUCAGUCACACUGGAAGUGAGACACGGUCCAGACUCCUACGGGAGGCAGCAGUGGGGAAUAUUGGACAAUGGGCGAAAGCCUGAUCCAGCCAUGCCGCGUGUGUGAAGAAGGUCUUCGGAUUGGAAAGCACUUUAAGUUGGGAGGAAGGGCAGUAAGUUAAUACCUUGCUGUUUUGACGUUACCAACAGAAUAAGCACCGGCUAACUUCGUG
RNAcentral lists this ribosomal RNA (484 nucleotides) under uncultured bacterium. RNAcentral describes it as "partial 16S ribosomal RNA". It matches the Rfam family "Bacterial small subunit ribosomal RNA", at positions 30 to 507 of the family's 1533-position model. The record is from RNAcentral.